GACAAAGAUUCUAACUGGCCAGCAUAGUUUCACUCAGUGUGGAGAGAAGCCAUUUAAAGACUGAAAUAAUAAAUCAAGGAAAAAAUAAAAAUAAAUCCUGAUAAUAAGCUCCCAUGAGCCCUCCCCAUGGCCCCAGCCUUAUGAUUGGAAUAGCAACCCUAACUAGAGGAAGAAGUGGAGCAACACCUUUUGAUGACCAGAGGGAGGAAGGAAGCCUUGCUGCAAGCUGGUCAGGUAUGACAAAGACGUGCCCUUUGAGGUGCUGGAAUUGACUCUUGAGUUUCAAGAUUCUCAAAUUCAAAAUCCUCUCAAGCUCAAAAAGUCAAGUCCGCAUUUGAUUACUGAAAACCUGCAUUUCCUCUAACUAGUGUCCUGAUGCUUAGUAAUGGAACCUUGACUUGAUGUCCAGCCUUCUUGAGAACGCAAUCCUUAUGCCAAGAACUCGACUACCUACUGAGGGAAUGAGACUGGAUUCUGCUCUUAUGAGCCUCCGUUCCCCUUGAAUCCCCAUCACCAAUCCUGAGCCCCUUAGGGUGCAGGAGUCCUGCUGCCAUGGGGCAAUGUGCCUGUGCAGAGUGGCUGCCUGGCUUCCAGAAUUAUUGUUUCACCUCUUCCCUCGCUGUAUUCUGCCUGCUGGAUCUCCUCUCUCUACAGCCAUCCUUCAUUUCUGAGCGUGUGUUUAAAGUUAAGCCAGUGGAGGUCUGAUGGGUAGAUCUGAGUUCACAUCAGUCCAUCAGAUAAGAAAACAUCUGAGAGCCCCUCCCCCCAGCUUUUCGACAGCACAGUGCGGGUGAAACGUCCACCUUCGGCUCAAUCUUGCGCUGAACUUCUCUGGAGCCUCAUCAGUUUCUUCUACAUUAAAUGUGGACAGUGGGUAUAACUUGCAAGGUUUUUGUACAGAGUAAGAUGUCGAGCUGAAUAGGAGUCUGGGAAGACGCCAGACGCCUAGAAGGUAGAAAAGCGCUAAGCAGUCAGGCUCUCCUCAAACUCACAGGAAUUGCUUCUCACUGGCCUCGUGGGGGCAGCACUGCCCACUCCUCUGGGCACUGGCACAUGGGGGGAGUGUUGACCUGGGGACUGUGAGCUGGAACCUGGACUCCCUGCCCCACCUGUCAGUCAGUCCUCGGUGCAAAUGAGGAUUCUGAGCAGUGCCUUCUAUUCCAGGACGGUCCCUGCCCUUCCUCGCUGUACCCCCUCCCCCUGCGCCUCUGUGUCUGGAUCAUCCCCCUGCCCCCAAAAGCUUUAUUUCAGUGCCCAGUUUGCUCCCGCCUUUUUGGUUAACCUAUAACUCAUUAACUAAUACAGCUCUUUCUAAUUCACAAGUUUCCUAUCCAUCAAGCCAUCUUAACAAGAAAAUCAGCCCUCAUCAAACACAAGAGGAAUCUUUGCAAAUUGAUAGAAAAAAAGAAAAUUGGUAGAAAAGAAGAUCUUUGUCAGGUCGAGAAUUUUCCCUUAAUUGCUGGCCCCCUGGAGUUGCUGCCUCAUGUUCCCUGGUGGCCUCCAGUCCCCAGGGGUCACAAGGCAACCGGGGGCACUGACCUAAGGCGGGGAUGAGUUUGCUGUGGGGCAAGUGCAGUAAAGGAGUAGAAUUGCUCCAGUUUUCACCUUUCAUUAGGCUACCUGAGGAUGGAGAAAACUUUCUCCCUCCUUCUUCCCUCCCUUUCUUCAUUUCUUCCUCUGAAAUUCUCAUUCAAAACACCAUCCUCAAAGUGCUAUCAGGUAGUUUCCUAUCACAAGAAACUAAGACAUACAAUGAGCAGGAAGCUAGUUAGAAAUUUGCACAAGCCAGGGUUUCACAGACAAAAAAAUUUAAGUGCUGUUUUGCUCCUGCAUAGAAAAAUUAACCACAUAGAUGUAAAGACAAGAUUUUCUCUUUCUCUCUCCCCAAUGUUCUGCAACUCUCCUUCCCAUCCAGACC
RNAcentral lists this long non-coding RNA (1918 nucleotides) under Sus scrofa (pig). RNAcentral's name for it is "lncRNA (ENSSSCG00030015807.1)". The record is from RNAcentral. Lineage: Eukaryota; Metazoa; Chordata; Mammalia; Artiodactyla; Suidae.